Molecule: unclassified non-coding RNA, 430 nt
Filed under: Hevea brasiliensis (rubber tree)
Lineage: Eukaryota; Viridiplantae; Streptophyta; Magnoliopsida; Malpighiales; Euphorbiaceae
Source: RNAcentral
AACUAUUCUUUGAUUUUCUCUGAGAAAGUCAGAUUCUGAUGGGUUUUGUAAAUUUGGGAAUCAAUCUUCUGAACCUCUAGUCUUUUGGUGUUUUUAGCUCUCUUACGCCUUGUGGAAUGGAUCUGAGCCACAUGAAAGGAUCGAUGCCGAUGCCGAUGCCGACGCCGACUUCAAUUUCUGCUAGAAAAUCCACAGAUAUGGUUUCUGAUCAGUUCCCGGCCGGUCUUCGCGUCCUGGUUGUUGACGACGAUCCUACCUGUCUCAGGAUCUUGGAAAAGAUGCUUCAGAAUUGCUGCUAUGCCGUGACGAAAUGCAACCGGGCGGAGAUUGCGUUAUCCAUGCUUCGUGAGAACAAAAAUGGUUAUGAUAUUGUUUUAAGCGAUGUGCAUAUGCCUGACAUGGAUGGAUUCAAGCUUCUAGAGCAAGUCGG